RNAcentral lists this transfer RNA (85 nucleotides) under Bartonella clarridgeiae. RNAcentral describes it as "tRNA-Leu". It matches the Rfam family "tRNA". Rfam says of the family: Transfer RNA (tRNA) molecules are approximately 80 nucleotides in length. Their secondary structure includes four short double-helical elements and three loops (D, anti-codon, and T loops). RNAcentral also lists the same sequence under 1 other name. Lineage: Bacteria; Pseudomonadati; Pseudomonadota; Alphaproteobacteria; Hyphomicrobiales; Bartonellaceae. The record is from RNAcentral.
GUCCAAAUGGCGGAAUUGGUAGACGCGCAGAUUUCAGGUAUCUGUGCCACAAGGCGUGGAGGUUCGAAUCCUCUUUUGGGCACUA